ACUGACUAGAGGGAAGUUGAUGUAUAAAACAUUCAAAUCAAAGAAAUCAGAGACUCAAAAUUUCCGAACCUCUCUCCUAACGAAAGCAGGAAGAGAGGAGGCAUUAGUGGAGUAUAAGAAAGAGAUUGAGUUACUUCAAGAAAAUAUAUCAAUCACUAGUGUACAACUGCUGAUGAGUCAAAAGCGGGCAAAUAUUGA
Amphimedon queenslandica is the source of this 198-nucleotide long non-coding RNA. RefSeq lists it as uncharacterized. The transcript has 2 exons. Lineage: Eukaryota; Metazoa; Porifera; Demospongiae; Haplosclerida; Niphatidae. The record is from RefSeq and is a predicted model, not a curated record.